UACGUAGGGGGCAAGCGUUGUCCGGAAUCAUUGGGCGUAAAGCGCGUGUAGGCGGCUUGGUAAGUCCGCUCUGAAAGCCCGGGGCUCAACCCCGGGAGGCGGGUGGAUACUGUCAAGCUCGAGUCCGGAAGAGGCGAGUGGAAUUCCUGGUGUAGCGGUGAAAUGCGUAGAUAUCGAGAGGAACACCUGCGGCGAAGGCGGGUUGCUGGGCUGACACUGACGCUGAUGCGCGAAAGCCAGGGGAGCGAACGGG
Molecule: ribosomal RNA, 253 nt
Filed under: uncultured bacterium
Lineage: Bacteria
Description: partial 16S ribosomal RNA
Rfam family: Bacterial small subunit ribosomal RNA
Source: RNAcentral